RNAcentral lists this ribosomal RNA (344 nucleotides) under uncultured bacterium. Its description in RNAcentral is "bacterial SSU rRNA". It matches the Rfam family "Bacterial small subunit ribosomal RNA", at positions 30 to 376 of the family's 1533-position model. The record is from RNAcentral.
AUUGAACGCUGGCGGCAUGCCUUACACAUGCAAGUCGAACGGCAGCACGGGAGCAAUCCUGGUGGCGAGUGGCGAACGGGUGAGUAAUAUAUCGGAACGUGCCCAGUCGUGGGGAUAACGUAGCGAAAGCUACGCUAAUACCGCAUACGAUCUAUGGAUGAAAGCGGGGGAUCGCAAGACCUCGCGCGAUUGGAGCGGCCGAUAUCAGAUUAGGUAGUUGGUGAGGUAAAGGCUCACCAAGCCGACGAUCUGUAGCUGGUCUGAGAGGACGACCAGCCACACUGGACUGAGACACGGCCCAGACUCCUACGGGAGGCAGCAGUGGGGAAUUUUGGACAAUGGGC